GACAAGGUCAUACCUACAGAAGCCAUUGAGGAACCCGAUUGUAUUUCAGAUGAACACUCGUGGGCAUUCACCAUAAGUUGCAAGUAAGCGGAAGGAUCAGUUUUCUUCAAGGCAUGUAGGUCUUCGACCGAAAGGGUGCGGAGUUCUUGGGUGUUAGGAGCAGGAUUAGUUUUCUCGACAGGAGAAGCCCUUAGGCUAGGUGGUUGAUUAUCAGUUUGAGGGUCAUCUUAGAUAGCGUCUUCGUC
This 245-nucleotide long non-coding RNA is filed under the name Lathyrus oleraceus (garden pea). RNAcentral's name for it is "Pisum sativum (pea) long non-coding RNA (PSAT_LNC023181)". The record is from RNAcentral. Lineage: Eukaryota; Viridiplantae; Streptophyta; Magnoliopsida; Fabales; Fabaceae.